This 1487-nucleotide small RNA is filed under the name Ralstonia solanacearum. RNAcentral's name for it is "bacterial LSU rRNA". The stretch from base 472 to 1487 matches the Rfam family "Bacterial large subunit ribosomal RNA", at positions 1 to 1062 of the family's 2925-position model. Lineage: Bacteria; Pseudomonadati; Pseudomonadota; Betaproteobacteria; Burkholderiales; Burkholderiaceae. The record is from RNAcentral.
UUAUCGGUUUGUUUGAUGUUACAGCCAAGGGUCUGUAGCUCAGGUGGUUAGAGCACCGUCUUGAUAAGGCGGGGGUCGUAGGUUCAAGUCCUACCAGACCCACCAAGUUACGGGCGGCGGAGAGCGAUCUUGCCGUGAACUGGGGGAUUAGCUCAGCUGGGAGAGCACCUGCUUUGCAAGCAGGGGGUCGUCGGUUCGAUCCCGUCAUCCUCCACCAACACCUUGUGGUAGCCAAACGCAAGCAUCGAGAGAUCGGUGUUUGCGUUUGGCAUUGCCAAGACGAGUAGUAACUCGGCUGUUCUUUAACAAUAUGGAAUGUAGUAAAGGUGUCGCGGCGCGUUGAUGAGGCGCGCAAUUUAAACGCGACACUGGGUUGUGAUUGUAUCAACCAGUAUUACGAGUGAUCGAAAGACCGCUUGGAAUACGGCACAACGCGAGAACUCAGCCUAUAGCGAGACAUACUCGUUAUAGGGUCAAGCGAAUAAGUGCAUGUGGUGGAUGCCUUGGCGAUCACAGGCGAUGAAGGACGUAGUAGCUUGCGAAAAGCUGCGGGGAGCUGGCAAACGAGCUUUGAUCCGCAGAUGUCCGAAUGGGGAAACCCGGCCCGUAUGGGUCAUCCCUUGCUGAAUACAUAGGCAAGGGAGGCGAACGCAGUGAACUGAAACAUCUAAGUAGCUGCAGGAAAAGAAAUCAACCGAGAUUCCCAGAGUAGUGGCGAGCGAAAUGGGAACAGCCUUGUACUCUUUAGCAGUAUUGUUAGCGGAACGGAAUGGAAAGUCCGGCCAUAGUGGGUGAUAGCCCCGUACGCGAAAACAGUAUUGUGGAACUAGGUGUACGACAAGUAGGGCGGGACACGUGAAAUCCUGUCUGAAGAUGGGGGGACCAUCCUCCAAGGCUAAAUACUCGUGAUCGACCGAUAGUGAACCAGUACCGUGAGGGAAAGGCGAAAAGAACCCCGGGAGGGGAGUGAAAUAGAUCCUGAAACCGCAUGCAUACAAACAGUCGGAGCCUGGAAACGGGUGACGGCGUACCUUUUGUAUAAUGGGUCAGCGACUUACAUUCAGUGGCAAGCUUAACCGAUUAGGGAAGGCGUAGCGAAAGCGAGUCCGAAUAGGGCGUUCAGUCGCUGGGUGUAGACCCGAAACCAAGUGAUCUAUCCAUGGCCAGGUUGAAGGUGCGGUAACACGUACUGGAGGACCGAACCCACUAACGUUGAAAAGUUAGGGGAUGAGCUGUGGAUAGGGGUGAAAGGCUAAACAAACUUGGAAAUAGCUGGUUCUCUCCGAAAACUAUUUAGGUAGUGCCUCGUGUCUCACCUUCGGGGGUAGAGCACUGUCAUGGUUGGGGGGUCUAUUGCUGAUUACCCCGCCAUAGCAAACUCCGAAUACCGAAGAGUGCAAUCACGGGAGACAGACAUCGGGUGCUAACGUCCGGUGUCAAGAGGGAAACAACCCAGACCGCCAGCUAAGGUCCCUAAGAUUGGCUAA